Molecule: ribosomal RNA, 533 nt
Filed under: Eiphosoma sp. BFS-2018
Lineage: Eukaryota; Metazoa; Arthropoda; Insecta; Hymenoptera; Ichneumonidae
Description: partial 16S large subunit ribosomal RNA
Source: RNAcentral
CGCCUGUUUWUCAAAAACAUGGUUUUUUGAAAAUAAUUUAAAAUUUUACCUGCUCAAUGAAUUUUUAAAUAGCUGCAGUAUAUUAACUGUACAAAGGUAGCAUAAUAAAUAGUUUUUUAAUUGAAAACUAGAAUGAAGGGUUUAAUGAAAUGUAAAUUUUAUUAGUUUUAAUAUUAAAAUUUUUUUUUAAUUAAAAAAAAUUAAUUUUUUUUAAAAGACGAGAAGACCCUAUAGAUUUUUAUAAUAAAAAUUAUUAUUUAAAUUAAUUUAAUAUUUAAUUUAAUUAAGUUAUUUGAUUGGGGAAAUUUUUAAAUUUAAUAAACUUUAAAAUUUUAUAAACAUAAAUUUAUGAAUUUUUGAUUUUUUUUUGAAAAAUUAAUAGAAUAAAAUACUUUAGGGAAAACAGUGUAAUUUUUUUUGAUAGAUCUAAUAGAUGAAAAAGAUUGCUACCUCGAUGUUGAAUUAAGAUAAAAUUUUAUAGAAAGAUAUAAAAAUUUUUAGUCUGUUCGACUAUUAAAAUCUUACGUGAUCUG